UACGUAGGGGGCGAGCGUUGUCCGGAUUCAUUGGGCGUAAAGAGCUCGUAGGCGGCUUACUAAGUCGAGUGUGAAACCUCCAGGCUCAACCUGGAGCCUGCACUCGAUACUGGUAUGGCUUGAGUCCGGUAGGGGAUCACGGAAUUCCUGGUGUAGCGGUGAAAUGCGCAGAUAUCAGGAGGAACACCGGUGGCGAAGGCGGUGAUCUGGGCCGGAACUGACGCUGAGGAGCGAAAGCGUGGGGAGCGAACAGG
Molecule: ribosomal RNA, 254 nt
Filed under: uncultured bacterium
Lineage: Bacteria
Description: partial 16S ribosomal RNA
Rfam family: Bacterial small subunit ribosomal RNA
Source: RNAcentral